This 333-nucleotide ribosomal RNA is filed under the name uncultured bacterium. Its description in RNAcentral is "bacterial SSU rRNA". It matches the Rfam family "Bacterial small subunit ribosomal RNA", at positions 568 to 898 of the family's 1533-position model. The record is from RNAcentral.
CGAGUAGGCGGUUGUAUAGGUGUGGUGUGAAAGACAUGGGCUUAACCUGUGGGUGUCACCGCAAACGGUAUGACUAGAGAGCAGUAGAGGGGAGUGGAAUUUCCGGAGGAGCGGUGAAAUGCGUAGAUCUCGGAAGGAACACUGGUGGCGAAGGCGACUCCCUGGACUGCCACUGACGCUGAGGCGCGAAGGCGUGGGGGAGCAAACAGGAUUAGAUACCCUGGUAGUCCACGCAGUAAACGAUGAAUACUAGAUGUUAGCUGCUUUAAGCAGUUAGUGUCGAAGCAAACGCGAUAAGUAUUCCGCCUGGGGAGUACGGCCGACAAGGUUGAA